AUUGAACGCUGGCGGCAGGCCUAACACAUGCAAGUCGAACGGUAGCACAGAGUGCUUGCUCUUGGGUGACGAGUGGCGGACGGGUGAGUAAUGUCUGGGAAACUGCCUGAUGGAGGGGGAUAACUACUGGAAACGGUAGCUAAUACCGCAUAACGUCGCAAGACCAAAGAGGGGGACCUUCGGGCCUCUUGCCCUCAGAUGUGCCCAGAUGGGAUUAGCUAGUAGGUGGGGUAACGGCUCACCUAGGCGACGAUCCCUAGCUGGUCUGGGAGGAGGACAAGCCACACUGGAACUGAGACACGGUCCAGACUCCUACGGGAGGCAGCAGAGGGGAAUAUUGCACAAUGGGCGCAAGCCUGAUGCAGCCAUGCCGCGUGUAUGAAGAAGGCCUUCGGGUUGUAAAGUACUUUCAGCGAGGAGGAAGGCGAUACGGUUAAUAACCGUGUCGAUUGACGUUACUCGCAGAAGAAGCACCGGCUAACUCCGUGCCAGCCGCCGCCGUAA
RNAcentral lists this ribosomal RNA (504 nucleotides) under uncultured bacterium. RNAcentral's name for it is "partial 16S ribosomal RNA". It matches the Rfam family "Bacterial small subunit ribosomal RNA", at positions 30 to 523 of the family's 1533-position model. The record is from RNAcentral.